Molecule: transfer RNA, 60 nt
Filed under: Paradiplozoon opsariichthydis
Lineage: Eukaryota; Metazoa; Platyhelminthes; Monogenea; Mazocraeidea; Diplozoidae
Description: tRNA-Cys
Source: RNAcentral
GGGUGUUUAGUUUACUAGAAUGCCAUUUUGCAAAAAUGGAGGCGGCUUGUUCAACACUCU